UGCAGUCGAACGAUGAAGCUGGGGCUUGCUCUGGUGGAUUAGUGGCGAACGGGUGAGUAACACGUGAGUAACCUGCCCUUGACUCUGGGAUAAGCGUUGGAAACGACGUCUAAUACCGGAUACGAGCUUCAGCCGCAUGGCUAGGAGUUGGAAAGAUUUUUUGGUCAAGGAUGGACUCGCGGCCUAUCAGCUUGUUGGUGAGGUAAUGGCUCACCAAGGCGACGACGGGUAGCCGGCCUGAGAGGGUGACCGGCCACACUGGGACUGAGACACGGCCCAGACUCCUACGGGAGGCAGCAGUGGGGAAUAUUGCACAAUGGGCGAAAGCCUGAUGCAGCAACGCCGCGUGAGGGACGACGGCCUUCGGGUUGUAAACCUCUUUUAGCAGGGAAGAAGCGCAAGUGACGGUACCUGCAGAAAAAGCACCGGCUAACUACGUGCCAGCAGCCGCGGUAAUACGUAGGGUGCAAGCGUUGUCCGGAAUUAUUGGGCGUAAAGAGCUCGUAGGCGGUUUGUCGCGUCUGCUGUGAAAACGCGAGGCUCAACCUCGCGCCUGCAGUGGGUACGGGCAGACUAGAGUGCGGUAGGGGAGAUUGGAAUUCCUGGUGUAGCGGUGGAAUGCGCAGAUAUCAGGAGGAACACCGAUGGCGAAGGCAGAUCUCUGGGCGGUAACUGACGCUGAGGAGCGA
Molecule: ribosomal RNA, 689 nt
Filed under: bacterium SL1.35
Lineage: Bacteria
Description: bacterial SSU rRNA
Rfam family: Bacterial small subunit ribosomal RNA
Source: RNAcentral